GACGAACGCUGGCGGCGUGCUUAACACAUGCAAGUCGAACGGAAAGGCCUGCUUUCCCUUGUGGAUUGCGGGUACUCGAGUGGCGAACGGGUGAGUAACACGUGAGUGAUCUGCCCCCAACUUGGGUAUAAGCCUGGGAAACUGGGUCUAAUUCCCGAUAGGACUGCAGGGUGGUGCCUGUGGUGGAAAACGAUUUUCUAGUGGUUGGGGAUGAGCUCGCGGCCUAUCAGCUUGUUGGUGGGGUAAUGGCCUACCAAGGCGGCGACGGGUAGCCGGCCUGAGAGGGUGGACGGCCACAUUGGGACUGGGAUACGGCCCAGACGCCUGCGGGAGGCAGCAGUGGGGAAUAUUGCACAAUGGGCGGAAGCCUGAUGCAGCGACGCCGCGUGGGGGAUGACGGCCUUCGGGUUGUAAACUCCUUUCGACCGCGAGGAAGCCACCUGGUUGGAAGGGUGGUGACGGUAGUGGUAGAAGAAGCACCGGCUAACUACGUG
This 494-nucleotide ribosomal RNA is filed under the name uncultured bacterium. RNAcentral describes it as "partial 16S ribosomal RNA". It matches the Rfam family "Bacterial small subunit ribosomal RNA", at positions 28 to 507 of the family's 1533-position model. The record is from RNAcentral.